RNAcentral lists this ribosomal RNA (233 nucleotides) under uncultured bacterium. RNAcentral describes it as "partial 16S ribosomal RNA". It matches the Rfam family "Bacterial small subunit ribosomal RNA", at positions 100 to 334 of the family's 1533-position model. The record is from RNAcentral.
CGGGACGGGUGAGUAAUGUCUGGGAAACUGCCUGAUGGAGGGGGAUAACUACUGGAAACGGUAGCUAAUACCGCAUAACGUCGCAAGGCCAAAGAGGGGGACCUUCGGGCCUCUUGCCAUCGGAUGUGCCCAGAUGGGAUUAGCUAGUAGGUGGGGUAACGGCUCACCUAGGCGACGAUCCCUAGCUGGUCUGAGAGGAUGACCAGCCACACUGGAACUGAGACACGGUCCAG